AGUACUGUUCAAUUCUAAUUACACUUACAGACCUUUGUUAACGGAGUCUUUCACAAGAAAGUCACUUUUAGUAUGGACAUGAAAGCUCCAUCAGGGAAAUGUAAUAUGAACUAAGUAUCAAAAAGGACGUAUAUUUUCGACUAUAGAGGCCAAUUUCUUAAAUAAACAAUAUAUAUAUAAACAAGCUUUAUUUAUGCCAGCUUCAGUUAGCUUGCGAGCUCGUUCUUACCUGGAAAAGUUUAGCAAAACAGUUAUCUCAAUGAAAAUUUGUACAUAAGAUUUAUACCAGAAACAAAACAGUCCUCUUAUUUAGUGCUUAAAAAGGGGAUUAUUACUUUUUAAGUGCUGCUAAGAUACGCCUCGUACACCGGUUGUUUUUUUAUUUCUAUUUAUUGAAGAGCAAAACGCCAGAUAUAUGCAUACGGUUCCUCGCACAUGUCAACUCUUUCUAUCAAAUAUUGUGAUUUUGUGCUCCUCAGUCGUUUUUAAACUUAUUAUAUAAGUUGUUACCGUGUCUGAAGUCUUUUAAUAAAUCAUAACCAGUAACUUGAUACCUUUACAUAAAUUUACUAGAUGUCAAUAGGGAGUGAUUCGGAAGCAAAUUAUAAAAACUGAAUAAACUGGAGGCGUAUGAAUUUUUAAUUAAUAAACAUGAUACCUAAACGGACAGGAUGCCGAAAAGAGAAGUUAGGCAUCCCAAAAACUUCUGCAGAAAAAAAACAACGCAAAAUAGCUUCUCUUAACAACUGGUGUAUCCUAUAAUUGUCGCUGCUUUGGAAGGAAAUACGUACAAUUCUUCUGGAAGGUGAUAUUAACGGCAAAAUUAUUUUUUGCUAGCUUCAAUAGAAUUGAAAGGCGGAUUCAAAAAACUCAAUGACUCUACACUUCUCGGCCACGCACUAUAAUGAAGCAUU
Zophobas morio is the source of this 914-nucleotide long non-coding RNA. RefSeq lists it as uncharacterized. The record is from RefSeq and is a predicted model, not a curated record. Lineage: Eukaryota; Metazoa; Arthropoda; Insecta; Coleoptera; Tenebrionidae. The transcript has 4 exons.